GCUUUAUGUUUUCUCCCAGUGCAGAAGUCACACUCCACAUCGUCUGGUCCGGCGUAGGAAGGAGCCUUAGCAUCAGACUGCAGUUCGGUCUUCUUCAGUUUCUCCAUAACAUUAGCCAUUAUUGUGUUUCUGCGUAGUACAGGCCUUGGAGUGAAGGUCUCCCUGCACUGGGGGCAGCUGUAAACACCCUUCUGGUCUUCUUGAUUCCAGCAGCCUGUAAUGCAGUUCAAACAGAAACUGUGUCCACAGGAAACAGUCACUGGGUCCUUCAGGAGAUCCAGACAAACACAACAGGUGAACUCAUCCUGAGAUACAGGAAUAAAGGCC
Long non-coding RNA from Alosa sapidissima (American shad), 327 nucleotides. RefSeq lists it as uncharacterized. The record is from RefSeq and is a predicted model, not a curated record. The transcript has 3 exons. Lineage: Eukaryota; Metazoa; Chordata; Actinopteri; Clupeiformes; Clupeidae.